Molecule: ribosomal RNA, 253 nt
Filed under: uncultured bacterium
Lineage: Bacteria
Description: partial 16S ribosomal RNA
Rfam family: Bacterial small subunit ribosomal RNA
Source: RNAcentral
UACGUAGGGACCGAGCGUUGUCCGGAUUUAUUGGGCGUAAAGAGCGUGUAGGCGGCUUUGCAAGUCCGUUGUGAAAACUCGAGGCUCAACCUCGAGACGCCGGUGGAAACUGCAAAGCUAGAGUCCGGAAGAGGAGAGUGGAAUUCCUGGUGUAGCGGUGAAAUGCGCAGAUAUCAGGAAGAACACCCGUGGCGAAGGCGGCUCUCUGGGACGGUACUGACGCUGAGACGCGAAAGCGUGGGGAGCGAACAGG